UGAUUGUGACUUGAUUGUGAUUUUUACUUCAUGAGUUGUUGUUGUAGGUUGGAAUUUAUAAGCUUCACUUUGAGCUUAUUGUGGUCGGUAUUGGUUCUUAGCGUUCGUUGUAACUUGUGCUAAAGGAUCGUUCGAUUCUCUAUCAAAGAUUUUGGAAAUCAAAUUUCAUGAACAAACUUUAUGAAGGAUUGUGUAGAAUAUGUUUAAGUUGUUUAAGUUUGGGACUUUUUAGAGUAGGUUGUUAAAUUUAAUUUAUAUUAUUUUUUUACUUUUGUAAAACAAAUGUUUGUAAUAUCAUGACUUUUUAAAUGAAAUUAAAUUCGUUGUUGGUGA
This is a non-coding RNA of Momordica charantia (bitter melon), 333 nucleotides long. NCBI's taxonomy places the organism in Eukaryota, Viridiplantae, Streptophyta, Magnoliopsida, Cucurbitales, Cucurbitaceae. The record is from RefSeq and is a predicted model, not a curated record.